GGAGGUUUUAGCUUAAUUAAAGUGCCUGAGUUGCAAUUAGGAGAUGUGGUGUGACUACAGACCUU
This 65-nucleotide transfer RNA is filed under the name Cyrtodactylus sermowaiensis. RNAcentral describes it as "tRNA-Ala". The record is from RNAcentral. Lineage: Eukaryota; Metazoa; Chordata; Lepidosauria; Squamata; Gekkonidae.